UGCCCUAUAUUAAUGUCCUAAAUCAAAAUAUAAGGCAUGUGAAGCAAAUCAAUGCUCCAACAAUGUCCUAGUGGUGCCUUAAAACACUAGGACAUGUAACAAUUGCCUUAUUUUUGAGGCACCAAUAUGCAUGCCCUAUUCAAUAAAAAAAUAGUUUCCUACCAUUCCACUACAUCUCUCUCUUCUCUCCUUUUCAUUUCCCUCCAAUAACAAUUUAAAUAUAUUAAUAUUUUAAUAAUAAGGCACAAUAAUGAGGCAUGUUGUUGGAGUUGAUAUAUGAAGAUGAUGUCCUAAAUCACUAGGACACAUUAUUUUAUUAUAUUUAUAGGGCAUUUGCUAGGACAUUGUUGGACUUGCUCUAAG
Molecule: long non-coding RNA, 363 nt
Filed under: Daucus carota (carrot)
Lineage: Eukaryota; Viridiplantae; Streptophyta; Magnoliopsida; Apiales; Apiaceae
Description: long non-coding RNA (DCAR_LNC005144)
Source: RNAcentral